This 401-nucleotide ribosomal RNA is filed under the name uncultured bacterium. Its description in RNAcentral is "bacterial SSU rRNA". It matches the Rfam family "Bacterial small subunit ribosomal RNA", at positions 29 to 430 of the family's 1533-position model. The record is from RNAcentral.
AUUGAACGCUGGCGGAAUGCUUUACACAUGCAAGUCGAGCGGCAGCGCGGGGCAACCUGGCGGCGAGCGGCGAACGGGUGAGUAAUGCAUCGGAACGUACCCCCGUCGUGGGGGAUAACUACCCGAAACGGGUAGCUAAUACCGCAUACGACCUGAGGGUGAAAGCGGGGGACCGAAAGGCCUCGCGCGAUGGGAGCGGCCGAUGCCGGAUUUAGCUAGUUGGUAGGGUAAAGGCCUACCAAGGCGACGAUCCGUAGCUGGUCUGAGAGGACGACCAGCCACACUGGAACUGAGACACGGUCCAGACUCCUACGGGAGGCAGCAGUGGGGAAUUUUGGACAAUGGGCGAAAGCCUGAGUCCAGCCAUUCCGCGUGAGUGAAGAAGGCCUCGGGUUGUAAGU